Molecule: transfer RNA, 72 nt
Filed under: Puccinia triticina 1-1 BBBD Race 1
Lineage: Eukaryota; Fungi; Basidiomycota; Pucciniomycetes; Pucciniales; Pucciniaceae
Description: tRNA-Gly (TCC) (tRNA-Gly-TCC-3-1)
Rfam family: tRNA
About the family: Transfer RNA (tRNA) molecules are approximately 80 nucleotides in length.
Source: RNAcentral
GCGCCGUUGGUGUAGUGGUUAGCAUUGAAGCCUUCCAAGCUUUAGUGCGGGGUUCGAAUCCCCGAUGGCGCA